UUGUAUGUAGCUCAGUGGUAGAGCUCUUGUGUCAAAUGCUUGAGGCACUGGGUUCGAUCCUCAGCCAUAUAAA
This 73-nucleotide transfer RNA is filed under the name Marmota monax (woodchuck). RNAcentral's name for it is "tRNA.Leu". It matches the Rfam family "tRNA". From Rfam's summary of the family: Transfer RNA (tRNA) molecules are approximately 80 nucleotides in length. Their secondary structure includes four short double-helical elements and three loops (D, anti-codon, and T loops). Further hydrogen bonds mediate the characteristic L-shaped molecular structure. tRNAs have two regions of fundamental functional importance: the anti-codon, which is responsible for specific mRNA codon recognition, and the 3' end, to which the tRNAs corresponding amino acid is attached (by aminoacyl-tRNA synthetases). tRNAs cope with the degeneracy of the genetic code in two manners: having more than one tRNA (with a specific anti-codon) for a particular amino acid; and 'wobble' base-pairing, i.e. permitting non-standard base-pairing at the 3rd anti-codon position. Lineage: Eukaryota; Metazoa; Chordata; Mammalia; Rodentia; Sciuridae. The record is from RNAcentral.